CCCGCCCCCGCGUUCACCUCACCUUGCAGCUUCUCAAACCUUAACUCCUUCGGCCUCAGGGUCACAAAAGGGGCAGCGGCCUCCCUUCCAGGUCAUCAGGGUGUUCGCCUUCGAAACCGGCCUAGGCCCAGGGAAUGCCCAGACGGCCUCGGAGGAGCCUGGGUGAGGCCAGUGUGUUCUUUGUGUUCCUGAAAUCACUCUCUGGCUGACAAGCACACCUGGCUGUUCCUAAGCCCUAAAACCGCCAGCAGUCAGGAGCAGGGCCACUUCCACCCCACAGUGGGGAAGCACGCCCUCUCCUGGGCGCGUUAGGAACUAUUUCUGACCACUUGAAUUUCAAGGGGGCCUUGAGGGGGUGUGUGCGUGUGCGCGUUGGGGCAAAGUACGUCUCCCACGGCUUUGCAGGUACGCUGAGUGCACUGGCACAUCUCUGUCCCCCACCCUCAGCACAGGCGCGCGCGCGCACACGCACAUCCUCACACUCACGGUGUCACGCGAGGGUACAGCUUAGGGGAAGCAUUGGCUGGCAACAACCGUCCAGGUUCCUCCAAGAGAAGUAACGGGAUGGUCUGUGACAGCCCAGUGCCGAGCCCCGCGGGAGCCAGACGCUCCCAGGACCCAACCUGGGUGCCCUCGGCCCCGCCUCCGCUGGACCCCGGGGCAGAGGCAGCUGGGCCCCACGCUUUCCCCAUCCCCAUCCCGCCCGACAGCAGAUCCUAAGUGGAGGCCCAGGCCUCCGGGUCACAGGUCUGGGGGACACCGAGGCCUCGCCUGUGACCUUAUCCUGGGGCCAGGCUACCAGCCAGCUGCGCGAACAAGCUCUUGCGGCAGGGGGCAGGGCGAAGCACGCUGUGCCCAAGGCUGAGCGCCACCCUGGCAGGGGCCUCACUCCUCAGGUCUCUCCUGUGGCCCUCAGGGGACAAGGACGCUCUUUCCACUCAGCCAGGGAGUGCCCUGGCUGCUCUGCCUCUCCCCACAGGACCCCUUAACCUAGGGGCUCUCACACCUACAGGUGGCCAGGAACCCAGUGGGCCUCAGAACGUGCAUUUGUACCGGGUUCCCAAGGCCACAGAGGCUGACUGGCGGGAUCCCGGCUGAACUCCAGAGGGGAGGGCCUCUGCCCCCGGAACUCCGGGAUGGAAGCAGCAUUUUGGAGGCUGAUUCCCAAGGAGGUAGGUCAUCGGCUGGCUGUGCCUGGUCCCAAUGGAAACGGACUUGGGGUUUGGCUCCGGGCUGGUCUCGGUUCAAGUCUUGAGCAAGGCCUGGGUGAGCCUGGUUCUGUGCGGUCCUGGCGCCUUCCAGACCGGCUUCGUCGUCUGGGCGAGCGGGAGGCUGGGUGUUGUUCGCUCUCUGGCCACCAGGGGGCGGUGAGAAGCAUUUUCCUGUCUUCCGGCGGGUCUUGGGGCCCCGUCGCUGUAACAGGGAGAACACUUCCGCUCCCCUUCUUACCCGCUGUGUGGCUUUGGGCAGGUUACUAACCUUUCUGAGCUCAGUUUCUGACUCAGCCUGGCUGCGCUGGGGCCAAACCCUCACAUUUCUAACAAGCGCCCAGAUAUUCGCCGCUGUGGGCGCCCGGGACAGUGCGGGGGUGACAAGGCCCCCGGCUCGCUCGAAGGGGGAAGAAGGACGACGCCGGGCACCCACCGCGGGCCUCGGAACAAGCGCCCGAACUUCUCCCGCCCCGGGCUUCAUCCACGCCUUCGCUGGCUUGUUUCCUCCGCACUGCACUCUGGAAGAAAACCCCAGCAGAGGCCAAACUCAAGGACAGUGUGCAACUUACAUGGUUCAACUUACAACUUUUCAACUUUAAAAAGUUUAGGAUGGGCUGACUGGGUCAGACCCUCAUCGUAAGCCAAGGAGCACCUGUGGUUGCAAGAUGGCUGCUUCCCAGGGAAGAAGUGGCUGUAAGGCCUGCGAGUGCCCCGCGGAGAGAGGUGACAGGCUUCUGGCAGGCUGCCAUGGAACAGCAUGACAUAUUAGCCGGCACUGUGAGUCCCAGCAAAGAAAGUCACCCUCCACCUGGCUGUCCAUUGUGGUAAGAUGUCCAUCUCAUCCUUUAUAGCUAUGUGCUCCCACCUGGCACUACAAUUCUGGGACUUCUAUUAUCUCCACUAGCCACAGGAGCCCAGCUCCUUAGCACCCUCCCCCACCUUCGACUCUGGGCUACCAGGAUGGUCAUUGUAAAGUCCUCAGAAAGCCUCCUCCCAAAUGCAUUCUUUCUUGCCUUAGUGAAGGCAGUGUCCUGGGAAGGUUUAAGGAACUAGUUAGUGGGUUCUAGAACCCUACAGAAUAAACCCUUUUAAUAUUUCAGAUCAAGUCUUCUGCAGUUUUUCAGCCCAAUGCAAAAACUCUGGCUCCUCUACCUUGCUUGUGGCCAUUGUUAAGACCAGGAUUCAAACUACCAUCUUGGCCAACAUUUAGAACGAGCCCUGGGCAUUCUUGCUAACACAUUAAACCCUGAAUUCUGCAUGAGUACUCCCUAAUCAGUGAGUCCUCCCAGCUGAGCUUUCUGCCCCACUGCACUCCCUGCUCACUAUGUAACAUCCUCAGGGGCCCUCCCACACCUGUCCACAGCUCCUGCCUGCGCUCACUAGCCAAGGCCCCCAUACCUUUGGCACGUGUGUCUUUCCUCUCUGCAGCAGGACUUUUGCUCCCCUAUAUAGGCUGUGCCGCAACCCGACUCUGGGCAAUGAUAGAGGGGAUCAGUGGGCAGGCCAGGUCAUAAGGAGAGGAAGUCAUGAAUAAAGGGGUCUGGGUAGAGCAGGAGAGUUCAGGGGUUUUGAAGGCAAGAUGUUCAUCCACCAAGACAUUCCAGUCCCAGCUGGAAGGGUCCCACGCCUUCCCUACCCCUAGGGCUCUGACUGUGACAUGGUAGCUUGUGAGGGCCAUGCACUUAGUCUCCUUUGCUGUCCCACCCCACUGUGAUCAGAGCUUGGGUUUGAUUUUAAGAGUUUACCCUAUGACUGCAGGAAAGAAUGCUCUCCUUUAAACUUGCCCUACAGCCUCUCUGGCUUUCAGAGCAUUUCGGGAGUUGAUAAUUAACUGCUCUGAGCCUGUCAUUUUGUGUUUCCCAGGUAUCUCACACCUUCUCCAUUUUUUCAACACGGUGAAGAAAUGUAUAUUUAGAAUUAUCCAGCUGGAUUCCAUUUAUAUGGUCCUAAUUUUGUUAGCAAUAUUCAAAGCAUGACAGUCAGGAGCCCGUGGACCAUAGGCUCCCUCUCUCCACCAGGCCUGAUCAGGGCAUGGACUUGACCACCUGCAUGUCACAGUGCUUCUUCACAGCCUGCUUGUUCUGGUGCUUGUCAGCCUUGACACCUACGGUGACCGCCAAGUGUGUUCUUGUCUUCGGUCUUCAUCGGGGCCAACUCUGUGGUCAGGGGACCUGGAUGAAGGCAUAGUGGCCACCUGUGUCUCUCCUGAGGGUGCCAGGAUGUGUGGGCUGCUCAGAGCCUCAGUGUCUUGGGCUGCCAGGAGUAGGGUCUUCUUUUGUGUGUGUGGCUGUAGAUACUGUUCAGGCCUGCCUUUGUGGCCUUCAAAGCCUCUGCCUUGGUUUAGGAUUUGGGAGGGACGGGAGCUUCCUUCUUCACUUUCAGCACCACCUAGGUAAAAAAGUUCCCUAGUACCAUAUAAUUAUCGUUUCCAAACUGAAAAAACACAAUGACUAAUUAAUGUCCUAAUGUCUUGCUCGCUACCCAAUUCAACCCAACUGAACCUUACUGAAAGCUGGGGUGCUGUUGCAUAUCAGGGUUAUUACCAUCCCACUUGCUAUUAGCAAAGGAGUUUCUACUGAUCUUAUGUAGAUGGGCAAUACAACCCCAAAACCCAUCUUGAGGAUUUGCUUUCUAGAGGUACUUGUGGAACCAGUUGUCUUAGCUGAAUUUUCCUAAAAACAGAAUCUGAAACAGAGACUAAGUGCUGGUUGGGAGAGACAGCAAGAAUAAGUAACAAGGGAAAUGAGUUUGGAUAGGAUGAGAAGCAAUGCAAGGUGGUGUGUUAGGCAGCCAACUACUUCAUCCCCAACUGCAAAGAGGCCGGUAGGCCGCUCAGUAGGCAUGUGCUCGGCCAUGCAGGCUAUCUCCAGACCACCAUAUUGGAAAACUCUCAAUUGGAACAAUACAUUGGAGGGAAGAGGAAAUGAUUCUCCACCCAGUUCCCUGCCAUUUCCUGCUUCUCAUCUGUCAAAAUACUCUCCAUGGGGGCGAUUUCCCUAGAUUGUGUCACUGAGCCCCUUUGAUGGCUGCUGGGAAGCCAGAGCCCACCUCCUGGGGUGUGGUAUUUCAUCUGGCCCCAGUGGUGGUGGAGAAUCAGAAGCAUGUGGCUGGCCAGCCUGGCUCUGGAGCCACAGCCUGGAGGGACAGCCCAAUACUUCUGGGUCCCAGGUAGCUGGUUAGUUACACAGAUGAGGAUGGCCACGGAGAUAGAUGUUGGUUCCAGGAGAAAGGUGAGGUCUAAAGAAUGUGAGGUGGAUAUGAGAUGUGUCCAACACAUCUAUUAAUAUGUUACUAAUUCGGUGCAUGUCUUCAUUUAUAUGGAAAACUUCAAACACUCACGAAAAUUGAAAAAAUAACCUAAUGACUUGCCUGUUCCCAUCUUUCAGCCCAAUAAUUACGCUAAAUUUUCUUACAUCAACCUUGUAAAGCAAAUCGUAAACAUUGCAUCAUUUCACCCAUACUUUGUUAUCUGUCUCUGAUAAGACAUGGGUAUGACCACCAUAUCGCUAUCAAGCCUGACAAAAUGACAACUCAUUAAUAUUACAUAAUGUCUAGCUCUAUAUUCAGAUUGCCUUAAUUGUCUCCAACAGGCUUUUUUUGUUUUCUGCUUUAUAGUUGUUUAUUUUAAAGAGACUCAAAGCAAGAUAAACAUAUUGCCUUUAGUUGCUAAAUAUCUUGUCUUUCUAAUUCUACCGGUUCUUUCCUACUCUACCUUAUUCUACUUUUAUUGCCAUUAAUUUGCCAUUGGUUUGUUAGAGGCAGGAUAUCAUUUGUCCUACAUUCUGGAUUUUACUAAUUGCUUCCUUGUGGUGUCAAUUAACUUUUUUUAAAUUUUUUUAAACUCUUUGUCAUUUCUAAGACUUGCUCUGUCAACACACAGAUUUAACAGUCAGGCUCAAUUUUUUGAAGCAAGCGUACUUCCUGGAUACAGCUGCAGAUUUACCACAGCAUGGCACCAUAAGAAACGUAGCAGUGGGCCGGGGAUUUAGCUCAGAGGUUUCACCACCUGCGGCGCAAGUGCAAGGACCCAAGUUUGAUCCCUGGUACCAAAAAAAAAAAAAAAGAACAAGUCAAGAAUCAUAGCAGUGAUGUUAAGACUGAUGAACUCACAUGGCAAUAAUUUUUCUAUACAGUGGGAAGCAGGAGUCUAGUUUCAACUUCAUUAAGAUGUGUAUAAUAGGGCCGGGGAUUUAGCUCAGUGGUUCCAGUGCCUGCCUUGCAAUGAUGAGGUCCUGAGUUUGAUCCCCGGUAACAACAACAACAAAAAAGAUGUGUACAAUAGCUCUUGUACAUUGCUAGGUUCAACUUGCGGAUAUUUUGUUUAGGAUAUUUUCCUUUAUAUUCAAAAUAGAGAUUGCUACUAAAUUUCCUUUCAUACUUUUCUCUUUUUUUUUGGUACCGGGGAUCAAACUCAGGUCCUUGCACUUGCCAGGCAGGCAGUGGAAACACUGAGCUAAAUCCCCGGCCCCUUUCAUACUUUUCUUGUCUUAUUUGCAUACCAAAAUUUUACCAGUUUGUAUACCACUGUUUUUCUUUUUCUAUUUUCUCAAAUAUUUUGUAUAAGAUUUGUUUCUUCAAUGUUUGA
This is a non-coding RNA of Heterocephalus glaber (naked mole-rat), 5796 nucleotides long. The record is from RefSeq and is a predicted model, not a curated record. NCBI's taxonomy places the organism in Eukaryota, Metazoa, Chordata, Mammalia, Rodentia, Bathyergidae.